ACGCAGCCCGGCCUGAGUGGAGCUCUUUUUCUUUUUUACCGAAAAAGAAAAAAGCGGGAACGGAGGACGGAUUAAGC
This 77-nucleotide unclassified non-coding RNA is filed under the name Epilithonimonas pallida. Its description in RNAcentral is "Flavo-1 RNA". The record is from RNAcentral. Lineage: Bacteria; Pseudomonadati; Bacteroidota; Flavobacteriia; Flavobacteriales; Weeksellaceae.